This is a non-coding RNA of Python bivittatus (Burmese python), 455 nucleotides long. Lineage: Eukaryota; Metazoa; Chordata; Lepidosauria; Squamata; Pythonidae. The record is from RefSeq and is a predicted model, not a curated record.
CAAAGCUGGAGUCUUCCUUUGCACUGGUUGAGAAGGUAUAUUGUGCAGAGAACAAUGCUCAGGGAAGUGUCUUUCCAUCUCUUUGCUUUGAUCUGCAGAUGAAGACCUAUCUUGGCAGUCUUCAAUUCUUUGAGAUGUUGAAUAAUCCUUGCAUCAGGUAACAUUCCCUGCACAUUCUGCCUGUCAACUGGCAGUCGUCUUUACAGAUUUACUCUGGUUUAAAAAGCGGUAAUUCGUCAUCAUAGCUAUGGCUGCAGCAAGGAAAGGUUCAAGUACCUCCCCUCCCGAUGGCGGAUGGGGGUGGGUGAUUGUGAUUGGCUGCUUCCUUGUUACGAUCUGCACUCGAGCUGUGACCAGAUGUAUCUCAAUUUUUUUUGUGGAGUUCCAGACUUACUUUGCACAAGAUUAUGCCCGGACAGCUUGGAUCCAUUCCAUUGUAGACUGUGCUACUAUGU